CUACGAUAGUAGAGGGGCAUUAUGUUUUCUGGUCUGUGCGUCCGUCUGUCUGUUCGUCCGUCCGUCUGUUCGUUCGUCCGUCCGUCUGUCCCGUUUCAGGUUAAAGUUUUUGGUCAAGGUAGUUUUUGAUGAAGUUUAAGUCCAAUCGACUUCAAACUUAGUAUACAUGUCCCCUAUGAUAUGAUCUUUCUAAUUUUAAUGCCAAAUUAAAGUUUUGACCCCAAUUUUACGGUUCACUGAACAUAGAAAAUGAUAGUGCAAAUUUCAGGUUAAAGUUUUUGGCUUCAGGUUAAAGUUUUUGGUCAAGGUAGUUUUGAUGAAGUUGAAGUCCAAUCAACUUGAAACUUAGUAUACAUGUGCCCUAUGAUAUGAUCUUUCUAAUUUAAAUGCCAAAUUAGAGUUUUGACCC
RNAcentral lists this long non-coding RNA (409 nucleotides) under Mytilus galloprovincialis (Mediterranean mussel). Lineage: Eukaryota; Metazoa; Mollusca; Bivalvia; Mytilida; Mytilidae. The record is from RNAcentral.